This 259-nucleotide long non-coding RNA is filed under the name Bos taurus (domestic cattle). RNAcentral describes it as "long non-coding RNA NONBTAT008173". Lineage: Eukaryota; Metazoa; Chordata; Mammalia; Artiodactyla; Bovidae. The record is from RNAcentral.
CCGUGAAUUCCCAACACCUGCAGGAAGACAGACUUGGCUUACAUAUUUUGUGAACUGCCGCAGUAUGUGUUAAUUUUAUGACUUACAUAAUUAUUCCUUUUUAUGUGUCUUAAAUGUCAAGGUCCCUGAAGUAACAGGAACAAGAGUAGCAAAUUAAGUAACUUUGACUGAACUUAUGAAGUCCUCAGUAUUUCGGCAACCUUUCAACAUCAGUAACUUCCACAGAAUAAUAUUAUGAAUUUUGGGAAUCCCCCCCAAA